UGGGAAUAUUGCACAAUGGGCGGAAGCCUGAUGCAGCAACGCCGCGUGCGGGAUGACGGCCUUCGGGUUGUAAACCGCUUUCGCCUGUGACGAAGCGUGAGUGACGGUAAUGGGUAAAGAAGCACCGGCUAACUACGUGCCAGCAGCCGCGGUGAUACGUAGGGUGCGAGCGUUGUCCGGAUUUAUUGGGCGUAAAGGGCUCGUAGGUGGUUGAUCGCGUCGGAAGUGUAAUCUUGGGGCUUAACCCUGAGCGUGCUUUCGAUACGGGUUGACUUGAGGAAGGUAGGGGAGAAUGGAAUUCCUGGUGGAGCGGUGGAAUGCGCAGAUAUCAGGAGGAACACCAGAGGCGAUGGCGGUUCUCUGGGCCUUUCCUGACGCUGAGGAGCGAAAGCGUGGGGAGCGAACAGGCUUAGAUACCCUGGUAGUCCACGCUGUAAACGGUGGGUACUAGGUGUGGGGUCCAUUCCACGGGUUCCGUGCCGUAGCUAACGCUUUAAGUACCCCGCCUGGGGAGUACGGCCGCAAGGCUA
Molecule: ribosomal RNA, 530 nt
Filed under: uncultured bacterium
Lineage: Bacteria
Description: bacterial SSU rRNA
Rfam family: Bacterial small subunit ribosomal RNA
Source: RNAcentral